CCUACGGGAGGCAGCAGUGGGGAAUCUUGCACAAUGGGCGAAAGCCUGAUGCAGCAACGCCGCGUGAGCGAAGAAGGCCUUGGGGUCGUAAAGCUCUGUCCGAAGGGAAGAAGGAAGUGACGGUACCGUAGGAGGAAGCGCCGGCUAACUACGGGCCAGCAGCCGCGGUAAUACGUAGGGGGCAAGCGUUAUCCGGACUUAUUGGGCGUAAAGAGUACGUAGGCGGUUCUUUAAGCGUAGGGUCUACGGCGAUGGCUUAACCAUCGUUCGCCCUGUGAACGGGAGGACUUGAGUAUCGGAGAGGCAAGCGGAAUUCCUAGUGUAGCGGUGAAAUGCGUAGAUAUUAGGAGGAACCCCAGUGGCGAAGGCGGCUUUCUGGACGAAACCUGACGCUGAGGUACGAACGCGUGGGGAGCAAACAGGAUUAGAUACCCGGGUAGUC
RNAcentral lists this ribosomal RNA (442 nucleotides) under uncultured bacterium. Its description in RNAcentral is "partial 16S ribosomal RNA". It matches the Rfam family "Bacterial small subunit ribosomal RNA", at positions 338 to 795 of the family's 1533-position model. The record is from RNAcentral.